GAUGAACGCUGGCGGCGUGCCUAAUACAUGCAAGUCGAGCGAACAGACGAGGAGCUUGCUCCUCUGACGUUAGCGGCGGACGGGUGAGUAACACGUGGAUAACCUACCUAUAAGACUGGGAUAACUUCGGGAAACCGGAGCUAAUACCGGAUAAUAUAUUGAACCGCAUGGUUCAAUAGUGAAAGACGGUUUUGCUGUCACUUAUAGAUGGAUCCGCGCCGCAUUAGCUAGUUGGUAAGGUAACGGCUUACCAAGGCAACGAGGCGUAGCCGACCUGAGAGAGUGGUCGGCCACACUGGAGCUGAGACACGGUCCAGACUCCUACGGGAGGCAGCAGUAGGGAAUCUUCCGCAAUGGGCGAAAGCCUGACGGAGCAACGCCGCGUGAGUGAUGAAGGUCUUCGGAGCGUAAAGCUCUGUUAUUAGGGAAGAACAAAUGUGUAAGUAACUAUGCACGUAUUGACGGUAACUAAUCAGAAAGCCACGGCUAACUACGUG
Molecule: ribosomal RNA, 497 nt
Filed under: uncultured bacterium
Lineage: Bacteria
Description: partial 16S ribosomal RNA
Rfam family: Bacterial small subunit ribosomal RNA
Source: RNAcentral